UACGGAGGGUGCAAGCGUUAAUCGGAAUUACUGGGCGUAAAGCGCACGCAGGCGGUUUGUUAAGUCAGGUGUGAAAUCCUCGCGCUUAACCUGGGAACUGCAUCUGAUACUGGCGAGCUUGAGUCUGGUAGAGGGGGGUAGAAUUCCAGGUGUAGCGGUGGAAUGCGUAGAGAUCUGGAGGAAUACCGGUGGCGAAGGCGGCCCCCUGGACGGAGACUGACGCUCAGGUGCGAAAGCGUGGGGAGCAAACAGG
This 253-nucleotide ribosomal RNA is filed under the name uncultured bacterium. RNAcentral describes it as "partial 16S ribosomal RNA". It matches the Rfam family "Bacterial small subunit ribosomal RNA", at positions 524 to 776 of the family's 1533-position model. The record is from RNAcentral.